RNAcentral lists this ribosomal RNA (497 nucleotides) under uncultured bacterium. RNAcentral's name for it is "partial 16S ribosomal RNA". It matches the Rfam family "Bacterial small subunit ribosomal RNA", at positions 28 to 507 of the family's 1533-position model. The record is from RNAcentral.
GAUGAACGCUGGCGGCGUGCCUAAUACAUGCAAGUCGAGCGAACGGACGAGAAGCUUGCUUCUCUGAUGUUAGCGGCGGACGGGUGAGUAACACGUGGGUAACCUACCUAUAAGACUGGGAUAACUUCGGGAAACCGGAGCUAAUACCGGAUAAUAUUUUGAACCGCAUGGUUCAAAAGUGAAAGACGGUCUUGCUGUCACUUAUAGAUGGAUCCGCGCUGCAUUAGCUAGUUGGUAAGGUAACGGCUUACCAAGGCAACGAUGCAUAGCCGACCUGAGAGGGUGAUCGGCCACACUGGAACUGAGACACGGUCCAGACUCCUACGGGAGGCAGCAGUAGGGAAUCUUCCGCAAUGGGCGAAAGCCUGACGGAGCAACGCCGCGUGAGUGAUGAAGGUCUUCGGAUCGUAAAACUCUGUUAUUAGGGAAGAACAUAUGUGUAUGUAACUGUGCACAUCUUGACGGUACCUAAUCAGAAAGCCACGGCUAACUACGUG